RNAcentral lists this non-coding RNA (24 nucleotides) under Arabidopsis thaliana (thale cress). Lineage: Eukaryota; Viridiplantae; Streptophyta; Magnoliopsida; Brassicales; Brassicaceae. The record is from RNAcentral.
UUAGAAUUUCGAGAUUGUGAGGUA